This 253-nucleotide ribosomal RNA is filed under the name uncultured bacterium. Its description in RNAcentral is "partial 16S ribosomal RNA". It matches the Rfam family "Bacterial small subunit ribosomal RNA", at positions 524 to 776 of the family's 1533-position model. The record is from RNAcentral.
UACGUAGGGGGCAAGCGUUAUCCGGAUUUACUGGGUGUAAAGGGAGCGUAGACGGCGAUGCAAGCCAGAUGUGAAAGUCCGGGGCUCAACCCCGGGACUGCAUUUGGAACUGUGUGGCUGGAGUGUCGGAGAGGCAAGUGGAAUUCCUAGUGUAGCGGUGAAAUGCGUAGAUAUUAGGAGGAACACCAGUGGCGAAGGCGGCUUGCUGGACGAUGACUGACGUUGAGGCUCGAAAGCGUGGGGAGCAAACAGG